GAUCCUUCUUCCCUCUCUCCCCAAGACAUAUUUGCAGAAAACCAUAGAAAAUAAGAGUAUAUAAGCUCAGUAAAAGGAAAGUAGAAAGCUGUGAUUAACAAAUUGAAAAGAACAACGGAAGAAGAUCGAAGAACACAAACCUGAUUCUUAAUCUGGGAAUCGAAGGAGGAUGGAGCCUUCGAAAGAGGAUGGAUUCUUCGAAGAAGAGUGAGGGGCCGAGGAAGGCUGAGAUGAGGGUGAUGUUGUCGACUUAGGGGCUUGGUGGGAGGAGAUCAGUGGUCGAGGGCUCGAGGAGGUGAGGGUGGAGGAGAGGAGCAGAAGUAGAUCGGGGAAGAAUGGGAGAAAUUGUGUUCGGGGAAGAAUAGGUCGAGCUGGAGAGUAAGUAAAGAGGAUAAGGCACCGCUAAAAUUUUGAUGGAAAUUUCAAAAAUUUCAUUUCAAAUUGCUCCAAAAUUUGAGCGGAAAGAAUACCCUAAAUUGUAAACCCUAAACCCUAAACCCUAAACCCUAGUCCUGUUGUGGUUCCAAUGUCUAAAAUUCAAAAUAUUAAAUUUCGACCGUCCGAUAUGAUCAGCGUAUUUAAAUACGGAUAUGGUUAAAAAUUCACCUAAUUUUGAUAAAGUUUGGGUCUCGAUCCAUGCAGUCAACAUUAACUCAACUUCAUCUAAUUAAGCGAAUACGCUAUUAUCCCCUACUUAUUUACUAGUUUUGGUCGAUUCUUUCAUGCACACACUCUAACAUAUAUGUUCUAUAGCAGCUUGUGUAGAAUUUUCAUAAAUUUUACCUUUCAGGGAUAGAGUUACCCAUAGAAGAGGAUAAGCGUAAAAGGGUUGAUCGCUUCGAUCGGGACACAAACGUUAUAAAAAAUAUGUGAUUUUUUUACCAUAACCAUAUUUCACUAUACGUAACACAUCCUGUGGACGGAUUUGCAAAAUUCUAUUUACAAGAUAUAGUUGCUUCACAAAUGCACACACUUGCAAAAAUGCCACUAAACAAGUUAUACCACAUUAGUAGGCAUGUUGUGGUUCUAAUGUCUAAAAUUUAAAAUAUUAAAUUUCGACCGUCAGAUGUGAUUAGCAAAUUUAAAUACGGAUAUGGUAAAAAAUUCACCUAAUUUUCAUAAAGUUUGGGUCUCGAUCGAUGUGGUCAACAUUAACUCAACAUCAUCUAAUUAAGCGAAUACGCUCUUACCUCCUCCUUCUUUACUAAUUUUGGUGGAUUCUUUCAGGCACACACUCUCACAUAUAUGUGAUGUAGUAGCUCCUGUAAAAUUUUCAGAAAUUUUACCUUCUGGGGAUAGGGCUACCCAUAGGGGAUAAUAAGCGUAAAAAGAGGUGACCACCUCGAUCGGGACACAAACGUUAUCGAAAAUAUGUGAUUUUUUUACCACAACCAUAUUUCACUAUACGUAACGCAUCUUGCGGAGGGAUUUGUAAAAUUAUAUUUACAAGAUAUAGUUGCUUCACAAAUGCACACACGCAAAAAUGCCACUAAACAAGUUAUACCACAUUAGUAGGCAUGUUGUGGUUCCAAGGUUUAAAAUUCAAAAUAUUAAAUUUCGACCGUUGGAUGUGAUCAACGUAUUUAAAUACAUAUAUGGUCAAAAAUUCACCUAAUUUUGAUAAAGUUUGGGUCUCGAUCGAUGUGGUCAACAUUAACUCAACUUCAUCUAAUUAAGCGAAUACGCUCUUACCCCCUCCUUCUUGAGUAGUUUUGGUGGAUUCUUUCAUGCA
Molecule: long non-coding RNA, 1732 nt
Filed under: Fragaria vesca (wild strawberry)
Lineage: Eukaryota; Viridiplantae; Streptophyta; Magnoliopsida; Rosales; Rosaceae
Description: long non-coding RNA (FVES_LNC002996)
Source: RNAcentral